UACAGAGGGGGCAAGCGUUGUUCGGAAUUACUGGGCGUAAAGGGCGCGUAGGCGGCCUUCUAAGUCAGACGUGAAAUCCCUCGGCUUAACCGGGGAACUGCGUCUGAUACUGGAUGGCUUGAGUUUGGGAGAGGGACGCGGAAUUCCAUGUGUAGCGGUGAAAUGCGUAGAUAUCUGGAGGAACACCGGUGGCGAAGGCGGCGUCCUGGACCAACACUGACACUGAGGAGCGAAAGCCAGGGGAGCAAACGGG
Molecule: ribosomal RNA, 253 nt
Filed under: uncultured bacterium
Lineage: Bacteria
Description: partial 16S ribosomal RNA
Rfam family: Bacterial small subunit ribosomal RNA
Source: RNAcentral